UCACCGGAUAAGACAGCUGGAUGAUAGCCGGGCUGAAGACUCUGCUUGACUAGCUGAGAGGAGGUGCAUGGCCGUCGUCAGUUCGUACUGUGAAGCAUCCUGUUAAGUCAGGCAACGAGCGAGACCCACGCCAACAGUUGCCAGCAUGUCUCCGGGAUGGUGGGGACACUGUUGGGACCGCCUCUGCUAAAGAGGAGGAAGGAAUGGGCAACGGUAGGUCAGCAUGCCCCGAAUUAUCCGGGCUACACGCGGGCUACAAUGGUCAGGACAAUGGGCAUCAACACCGAAAGGUGAAGGCAAUCUCUUAAACCUGUCCUUAGUUCGGAUUGUGGGCUGCAACUCGCCCACAUGAAGCUGGAAUCUGUAGUAAUCGCGUCUCAAAAUGGCGCGGUGAAUAUGUCCCUGCUCCUU
Molecule: ribosomal RNA, 411 nt
Filed under: uncultured Methanolinea sp.
Lineage: Archaea; Methanobacteriati; Methanobacteriota; Methanomicrobia; Methanomicrobiales; Methanoregulaceae
Description: bacterial SSU rRNA
Rfam family: Archaeal small subunit ribosomal RNA
Source: RNAcentral